CGACAGGAAGUUUUGGAAGAGAGAUUUCGGAACAUGAUUUGAAAUCGUGGAGCUAUUGAAUACACAUCGCCUCGUGAUCAAUUUGAUAGAUUAUUAACGUUUACUAAUACCUAAAGUUGGAUUACAAAAUUUCCAUAGAUGGAUAUUUUGGGUAUAUAUGGACCGAUUUAAUCGAAAAAAAGACCCAAUAGUGAUGUUUAUGGGACAUAUAGGAGUGCCAACAAAGAAGCUUGUCAAAGUGGCACUGACUCCGACUGGGAGCCACCUUUGUCAACUUGUCCAUCCCCCUCUGAAGCUGGUCACAUCCAGCUGUACCCCUGCUGUCUCUGGCUCCACACCUCCCGGGCCAUCUAGAGGUGUGAAGGCACUGACAAAGAAGCGGAGGAGGGGAAGUGUGCCACCCGCUAACAGAGGGACAGAAGGGCGUUGGCACACCGUCCUAGAAGAUGAUGUGGAACCACCCCAACCAACUUUUAGGCCGAAAAGGAAGCCAGGAC
This is a long non-coding RNA of Oncorhynchus tshawytscha (Chinook salmon), 497 nucleotides long. NCBI's taxonomy places the organism in Eukaryota, Metazoa, Chordata, Actinopteri, Salmoniformes, Salmonidae. The record is from Ensembl.